RNAcentral lists this long non-coding RNA (1492 nucleotides) under Salmo salar (Atlantic salmon). RNAcentral's name for it is "lncRNA (ENSSSAG00000106315.1)". Lineage: Eukaryota; Metazoa; Chordata; Actinopteri; Salmoniformes; Salmonidae. The record is from RNAcentral.
GGAACAGAGAGAGAGUAGAACAGGAUGAGACAGGGAGGAACAGAGAGAGUAGAACAGGAUGAGACAGGGAGGAACGGAGAGAGUAGAACAGGAUGAGACAGGGAGGAACAGAGAGAGUAGAACAGGAUGAGACAGGGAGGAACAGAGAGAGAGAGUAGAACAGGAUUAGACAGGGAGGAACAGAGAGAGUAGAACAGGAUGAGACAGGGAGGAACAGAGAGAGAGAGUAGAACAGGAUGAGACAGGGAGGAACAGAGAGAGUAGAACAGGAUGAGACAGGGAGGAACAGAGAGAGAGUAGAACAGGAUGAGACAGGAAGGAACAGAGAGAGAGUAGAACUGGAUGAGACAGGAAGGAACAGAGAGAGAGAGAGAGUAGAACAGGAUGAGACAGGGAGGAACAGAGAGAGAGUAGAACAGGAUUAGACAGGGAGGAACAGAGAGAGUAGAAUAGGAUGAGACAGGGAGGAACAGAGAGAGAGUAGAACAGGAUGUGACAGGGAGGAACAGAGAGAGAGAGUAGAACAGGAUGAGACAGGGAGGAACAGAGAGAGAGUAGAACAGGGAGGAACAGAGAGAGUAGAACAGGAUGAGACAGGGAGGAACAGAGAGAGAGAGUAGAACAGGAUUAGACAGGGAGGAACAGAGAGAGUAGAACAGGAUGAGACAGGGAGGAACAGAGAGAGUAGAACAGGAUGAGACAGGGAGGAACAGAGAGAGAGUAGAACAGGAUGAGACAGGGAGGAACAGAGAGAGUAGAACAGGAUGAGACAGGGAGGAACAGAGAGAGAGUAGAACAGGAUGAGACAGGGAGGAACAGAGAGAGAGAGUAGAACAGGAUGGACAGGGAGGAACAGAGAGAGUAGAACAGGAUGAGACAGGGAGGAACAGAGAGAGUAGAACAGGGAGGAACAGAGAGAGAGUAGAACAGGAUUUGACAGGGAGGAACAGAGAGAGUAGAACAGGAUGAGGCAGGGAGGAACAGAGAGAGAGUAGAACAGGAUGAGACAGGGAGGAACAGAGAGAGUAGAACAGGAUGAGACAGGGAGGAACAGAGAGAGAGAGUAGAACAGGAUGAGACAGGGAGGAACAGAGAGAGAGAGUAGAACAGGAUUAGACAGGGAGGAACAGAGAGAGUAGAACAGGAUUAGACAGGGAGGAACAGAGAGAGUAGAACAGGAUUCGACAGGGAGGAACAGAGAGAGUAGAACAGGAUGAGACAUGGAGGAACAGAGAGAGUAGAACAGGAUGAGACAGGGAGGAACAGAGAGAGUAGAACAGGAUGAGACAGGGAGGAACAGAGAGAGUAGAACAGGAUGAGACAGGGAGGAACGGAGAGAGUAGAACAGGAUGAGACAGGGAGGAACAGAGAGAGAGUAGAACAGGAUGAGACAGGGAGGAACAGAGAGAGUAGAACAGGAUGAGACAGGGAGGAACAGAGAGAGAGUAGAACAGGAUGAGACAGGGAGGAACAGAGAGAGAGUAGAACAGGA